GAACACCAAAGAGAUGGGAACAGCAGGAGCUCAGAGCGCUGGAAGCAGCAAGAGAAUGGAAGAGCAAGAAAGCAGAUACCCUCCAGCCCAUGGGGACAAACAAUUAGGGAUGAAGUAGACUGAUGCUCUCCAGUGUAGGUGCUGUGUGCAAACUGACACUCAGAAUCCAGUCUGCACAUCCUUGAAGACCAAAGGAUGCCCAGGAUCAAAACAUCAGUGUUUUUGUGUGUUAGACACAAAGUCAAAACACUCAUUCUCUAUGGAGGAGAGAUCCUCCACAGAGAACAGAAGCCAAACCUGGAACUGAGGACAGUCACUGCAUACUUAAAAUUGCAGCUACAAACUAGGAAUCAUCUACCAUUGUAAGACCCAAGGCAUGGUUUAACUUAAGCCAUGGAUGGUUAAUUCCCCCUAGAAUACAGAAGUUACUAUAUAGCCCAGAAAUUCCACAUUCAGUUACUCAGAUGGAAAUUACAGCCGACACCACAAAGUCCAACUGUUGGAGACCUGAAAGUACUGCUUUCUUUUCUGUGAUGAGAUGGUAAGAUGCAGCCUUCCAUGGUUCUGCUUACCUGUUUUUCCUUUUAAAUUGCUGACGAGAGAGAAAAAGACUCCCUGCAAAGCCUAACACACUCUCAGAGACCAGAGGGAUGCAGCGAGGCAGACACCCAGCCACUGAUCUUCAAGCAGGUCCAUAGCAGCCUUAUUUAUGGGACAAGUCAUUUUACUUGCCUGCAGAAUGUGGAGGAUAUUGAAGAUAUUCAACUGUAAUCCGCAUACCAAAGAUACUGGUGAGUCAAAGCUGAGCUAUCUUUCUUGCAAGGUCUCUGGAACACUGCAUGGCAUUCAUUCAUCACAAGCAAGAGAACAGCUGUAGUCAUUUAAAACAGAAAUUCUGAUCAUUCCUGAAGCUACAAGGAGCCCUUGCAACCCAUGGCUAGAUAGACAUGGAAGUACAGGUAAGAAGAGUGAGAGAGUCUCAGCCAAAGCAUCUGGGAGGACUUGAAGGAGAACUCUGGCCAGAUGCAUUGCUAAGAUCAGCAGGGAAUCCUGAGGCCACUAGAAAGAAAAACAAGGCUUCUAAGAAUCCAGUACUUACCAUUCAGGAUGAGAAAUCUACAGAUGCAAGCCCAAAGCCGUAGCACCAAAGAAUGAACAAGCAGCAAUACUGAGAGCUGUCAGAAAGCCACAGAACUAGCAGGAUUGCACUCCCACAUAGCCCAUGUACUGAGGGUGCCACAGCUGGCACCAGUGGGUGUGCCAGGACAGCCACCAGGAUUCUUGACAAACACUCAGCAUCUGGCCAAGGACUGGAUACACAGUGCUUUCUAAUCCCACUCAAAGUACAGAGCAGGUGAUCAAAAAGGCACUUCUGAGCCAACAAGCCCUUCUAAUGUUUACUUCUGACUGGCAAAUGCAGCUCAGGGAUGAGUCGAGGCCUCUUCUUCUACUGCCCUUUUGCGUGUGCAUGAGGAUGAAUUCCACAGAAUCAGUAGCAAACCUCAAGGGAAACUGUCAAGAUGACAAAGGCGACUACACAAAGGGAAUGUCAUUUUCAAGACACCCCAGGCUUCCAUCUCCUGUUCAGAAUGGCUGAUAACCCAGAGAGCAAGGAGGCAUUUCAUCUCACUGCAGGCCAUCCAUGAGGAGCUGUGCAAUACAUUUCAGCAGGGAAGAGCAAGAGGGACCGGUAGGACAAGAGGUGUAUGAUCUGCAUUGCUUCCAUACCCAUGGCUUGCCCAUACUCUGUAUGUUAUUUGAGUGCCUCUCAUACGCUCCUUUUUAUGUAGAGCAGAAACUCACACAGGCUUAGAAGAACUGAUGAUGCAGGUUACCUGAGUUACAGAUCAUACAUGCAAGCACGGAGUUCUACAUUACAAGGCAUAACAAACCAUUUCACUGUAACACAGAGCUUGCAGCCAUCUUAAUUAAGCACAGUUCAGAAGAGUGUAUUAUCUGACCCCAUUUAAAAUACUAAAUGCCUUUUCAACAUUCAGCACACAACACACAUCAACAUUAAUAAAAGCAUUGCUAUAAUCUG
Molecule: long non-coding RNA, 2041 nt
Filed under: Gallus gallus (chicken)
Lineage: Eukaryota; Metazoa; Chordata; Aves; Galliformes; Phasianidae
Description: long non-coding RNA NONGGAT003412
Source: RNAcentral